GUUUUUUUUAGCAAAGCGCGUACUAAAAUUGGAACGAUACAGAGACGAUUAAUAUGGCCCUUGAGGCACGGUGAACUUUAGUUAUGUUCUUUU
RNAcentral lists this small nuclear RNA (93 nucleotides) under Glossina brevipalpis. Lineage: Eukaryota; Metazoa; Arthropoda; Insecta; Diptera; Glossinidae. The record is from RNAcentral.